RNAcentral lists this long non-coding RNA (278 nucleotides) under Lathyrus oleraceus (garden pea). RNAcentral's name for it is "Pisum sativum (pea) long non-coding RNA (PSAT_LNC008079)". The record is from RNAcentral. Lineage: Eukaryota; Viridiplantae; Streptophyta; Magnoliopsida; Fabales; Fabaceae.
AAAACCUCAAAGCGGAUUCUGAAUUACAGCAGGUUGAUUCAAAGGGGAUUAGUUCUCCAUAGUCAUCUUGCUAGCUCUCAAAAAAUCGUACAUGAACAGAAAAACGUCAUUCUGUUUUUGAUUGCCUAACCUAGGUAAAAACACCCAAACCCGUUUCACAACUCAACCGGGUCAAAUGUACGAUCCCGGCCCAAUACAACUAACCCAAACAAAAUAUAAAAAAUAAUGCAGCAGCUUCAACGAAAUUUUUGACACUGCUACAUUCUGAUUCAGCUCUC